UGAGCAAUCUGCCCUUCUCAUCGGAAUAAGCGUUGGAAACGACGUCUAAUGCCGAAUACGACCUCCUUUCGCAUGAUCGGAGGUGGAAAGCUCCGGCGGAGAAGGAUGAGCUCGCGGCCUAUCAGCUAGUUGGUGUGGGUAAUGGCCCACCAAGGCGACGAUCCGUAGCUGGUCUGAGAGGAUGAUCAGCCACACUGGGACUGAGACACCGGCAGA
RNAcentral lists this ribosomal RNA (216 nucleotides) under uncultured bacterium. RNAcentral's name for it is "partial 16S ribosomal RNA". It matches the Rfam family "Bacterial small subunit ribosomal RNA", at positions 118 to 335 of the family's 1533-position model. The record is from RNAcentral.